GACGAACGCUGGCGGCGUGCCUAAUACAUGCAAGUCGAGCGAACAGACGUGGUGCUUGCUCCUAUGUGAAUAGCAGCGGACGGGUGAGUAACACGUGGGUAACCUGCCUUUAAGCCGGGGACAACAUCUGGAAACGAAUGCUAAUACCGCAUAACAACUUUAAACAUAAGUUUCAAGAUUGAAAGAUGCACUUGCAUUCACUAAUGGUGAUCUCCCGUCGGCUUAGCUAGUUGGUUAGGUAAAGGCCCACCCAGGCCAAGGAUGCUAAGCGGACUGGGGAGGGGGACCGCCAAAACUGGACUGGGACAACGCCCAAACCUCUUAGGGGGGGAGCAGUAGGGGAUCUUCGGCAAUGGACGGAAGUCUUGCCGAGCAACGCCGCGGGGGUGAAGAAAGGUCUCGGGACGGAAAACCCCUUUGGUUGGGGAGGACGAAGGGGGGAAUUGAAUGUGCACCUAGUGACGGUAACUACCCAGAAAGCGACGGCUAACUACGUG
RNAcentral lists this ribosomal RNA (497 nucleotides) under uncultured bacterium. RNAcentral's name for it is "partial 16S ribosomal RNA". It matches the Rfam family "Bacterial small subunit ribosomal RNA", at positions 28 to 507 of the family's 1533-position model. The record is from RNAcentral.